CCGUAUCCUCAAUUAUUAACGCAACCCUAACUAUUUUUCGUAUCAUCAUUUAAUCAAUAUAUUUCAUUAGCUCUUAUGUCUUUACAGCUUAUUUGCAGCUUAUCAUUUUAAAUACUUAUGUAUAAGUUGUUUCCAUAGUAAAAGGUAAAAUUAAGUUUAAAUUGUUUUUGUAUAAGGUUAUAAGUUGCUUUCAUAAGCUAUCUUUGAUGACUUAUGAGAAUAAGCAGAAAAUAGCUUAUGAAUAAUGUUACUAGCUAACCCACUUGGGUUGGUCAGGUGGGGUUGGUUGGGACCUUGGAGUGUGUUCUUCUCAAGGUCUUAAGUUCGUUUACCUCCGGUGCCAAUUUCGAUUCGAUGAGCUAGUCCAUUCAGAGCCUUGCUCUGGUUUUAAAUGGGUCUCCCACAGGUGGACAGUGGGAUUGAAACCCUCGAAUUAGUCUGUCCUUAGGCUGGAUACCGAGUUUUCAAAAAAAGAACAAUGUCAUAAGCUAUUUUCAUAAGUUCUCUCAAACAAUCUCACAAAACUUAUGUUGGUAGAUAAACUCAAAUAAAUCAAUCCAAUUAGGCAUCAUUACAUGGUUAUCAUUAAUGACAGAGGUUUAAACCAAAAGUUGGGGCAUGGAGGAUCUAAUCUUAGUUAUGAGUUAUGACAUAGGGGAGUUUGGGCUCCCCCAAAUAUUUUAAAAGUAAUGUAUAUAUUUCUUUCUAAGGUAGUUGAGUUCAUCCCCGCAACCUUAAACAUGGAGCAAAAAGCAAGAAAAUGAAAAUCACACAUGAAGGGAUAUGGUGUUGUGCUGGUAUAAAUAUACCUUAGAAAGAAACAUGCAUAUUAUUGUAAAAAUAUCUACAAGAACCCAAGCUCUCCUAUGUCAUAACUAAGACGCGCCGUUGGUUAUCACCCCCAAUUUUGUUACUGUUUAUUAUUCUCUCAUUGUACUGAACUGAAAUGCUAUUUAUCUGCUUGUUAGGGUAUGCUUACAUGAUCCUGAAAAUUAAAAUUUUCUUGUGCGUAAGAAUUGUGCUUCAUGUUUUGCCUCUGUGUGUAUGUGUCCAUGGAUAGUUGAAUAUUUAUUCAGUUACAUGAUUGUGUUCUAGAGAGAAAAUAAGGACGAAAACUUUUAUCUGGGGUGAAGUUACUAGGUUUUUCUUUGGAAUUUUAGCAUUGCAAUACUGUUUCUUCAACAAUCACCUUUGGACCAUAGACUACAUUUUACAUGAUUGUAUUUUGGGGAAAAUUAGAAGUUAGGAAGAUAAUUUAAUUUGGUAAAGUUAGUAGUAACUGGGUUUGACUUGGGAAUUCUAGCACUGUCAUAUUGUUUCUUUAACAUGCAUAUUUGGACCAUAGACUAUAUUUUAGAUGACUGUGAUUGGGGAAAUAAGGAAGUAAACUUUAUCUAGGCGAAGUAACUGAGUUUUUCUUGGUAAUUCUAGCAUUGCGUUGUUGUUUCUUUAACAACCAAAUUUGAGCAAUAGACU
This 1476-nucleotide long non-coding RNA is filed under the name Medicago truncatula (barrel medic). RNAcentral describes it as "long non-coding RNA (MTRU_LNC002937)". Lineage: Eukaryota; Viridiplantae; Streptophyta; Magnoliopsida; Fabales; Fabaceae. The record is from RNAcentral.